Molecule: ribosomal RNA, 312 nt
Filed under: Triticum aestivum (bread wheat)
Lineage: Eukaryota; Viridiplantae; Streptophyta; Magnoliopsida; Poales; Poaceae
Description: partial small subunit ribosomal RNA
Source: RNAcentral
AUGGUGGCGAGAUUGGUGGCCUUCUUCCUUCCUUCUUGGAUCUUCCUUCCUCUCUUCCUCCCCUUCCUUGUCCGAGUGUCAUCAUGGAGAUGGAUGGGCAAAUGGGAAAGCUUCAUUGCGUCGGCGACGUGCUUCUCCCUUUCCAUCUGCGUCGGUGCAGGGCGGGCUCCUCUUGUGUCCUUGGUUACUCAUCCACCAGAUUCCUCUUCAACCUCCAUCUUUGGAGGCCCACAAUGUGGUUCCUGGAACUGGUGCUCCAGCCAUUGGGUAAUUGGUGUUACCCUUUCUCAGUUUAGGUGUUCAUUUGCCUGA